UCCCGCCUACGGGGCGCAGCAGUGAGGAAUAUUGGUCAAUGGGCUUACGCCUGAACCAGCCAAGUCGCGUGAGGGAAGACUGCCCUAUGGGUUGUAAACUUCUUUUAUAUGGGAAUAAAACAGGGUAUGCAUACCCUCUUGUAUGUACCAUAUGAAUAAGGAUCGGCUAACUCCGUGCCAGCAGCCGCGGUAAUACGGAGGAUCCGAGCGUUAUCCGGAUUUAUUGGGUUUAAAGGGAGCGUAGGUGGAUUGUUAAGUCAGUUGUGAAAGUUUGUGGCUCAACCGUAAAAUUGCAGUUGAAACUG
This 305-nucleotide ribosomal RNA is filed under the name uncultured bacterium. RNAcentral describes it as "bacterial SSU rRNA". It matches the Rfam family "Bacterial small subunit ribosomal RNA", at positions 330 to 635 of the family's 1533-position model. The record is from RNAcentral.